RNAcentral lists this ribosomal RNA (403 nucleotides) under bacterium. RNAcentral describes it as "partial 16S ribosomal RNA". It matches the Rfam family "Bacterial small subunit ribosomal RNA", at positions 355 to 776 of the family's 1533-position model. The record is from RNAcentral.
UGGGGAAUAUUGCACAAUGGAGGGAACUCUGAUGCAGCGACGCCGCGUGAACGAAGAAGGCUUUCGAGUCGUAAAGUUCUUUUAUAUGGGAAGAUAAUGACGGUACUAUAAGAAAAAGCCCCGGCUAACUACGUGCCAGCAGCCGCGGUAAUACGUAGGGGGCUAGCGUUGUCCGGAAUCACUGGGCGUAAAGGGUUCGCAGGCGGAAAUGCAAGUCAGGUGUAAAAGGCAGUAGCUUAACUACUGUAAGCAUUUGAAACUGCAUAUCUUGAGAAGAGUAGAGGUAAGUGGAAUUUUUAGUGUAGCGGUGAAAUGCGUAGAUAUUAAAAAGAAUACCGGUGGCGAAGGCGGCUUACUGGGCUCAUUCUGACGCUGAGGAACGAAAGCGUGGGUAGCAAACAGG